RNAcentral lists this ribosomal RNA (1393 nucleotides) under uncultured bacterium. RNAcentral describes it as "bacterial SSU rRNA". It matches the Rfam family "Bacterial small subunit ribosomal RNA". The record is from RNAcentral.
AGAGUUUGAUCCUUGCUCAGGACGAACGCUGGCGGCGCGCCUAACACAUGCAAGUCGAACGAGCAAGAGAGAGCUUGCUUUCUCGAGCGAGUGGCGAACGGGUGAGUAACGCGUGAGGAACCUGCCUCAAAGAGGGGGACAACAGUUGGAAACGACUGCUAAUACCGCAUAAGCCCACGGGUCGGCAUCGACCAGAGGGAAAAGGAGCAAUCCGCUUUGAGAUAGCCUCGCGUCCGAUUAGCUAGUUGGUGAGGUAACGGCCCACCAAGGCGACGAUCGGUAGCCGGACUGAGAGGUUGAACGGCCACAUUGGGACUGAGACACGGCCCAGACUCCUACGGGAGGCAGCAGUGGGGAAUAUUGCACAAUGGGGGGAACCCUGAACGAGCAAUGCCGCGUGAGUGAGGAAGGUCUUCGGAUCGUAAAGCUCUGUUGUAAGAGAAAAACGACAUUCAUAGGGAAUGAUGAGUGAGUGAUGGUAUCUUACCAGAAAGUCACGGCUAACUACGUGCCAGCAGCCGCGGUAAUACGUAGGUGGCGAGCGUUAUCCGGAAUGAUUGGGCGUAAAGGGUGCGUAGGUGGCAGAACAAGUCUGGAGUAAAAGGUAUGGGCUCAACCCGUACUGGCUCUGGAAACUGUUCAGCUAGAGAACAGAAGAGGACGGCGGAACUCCAUGUGUAGCGGUAAAAUGCGUAGAUAUAUGGAAGAACACCAGUGGCGAAGGCGGCUUGCUGGACAUUAACUGACGCUGAGGCGCGAAAGCGUGGGGAGCAAAUAGGAUUAGAUACCCUAGUAGUCCACGCCGUAAACGAUGAGAACUAGGUGUUGGGGGAAUAACUCAGUGCCGCAGUUAACGCAAUAAGUUCUCCGCCUGGGGAGUAUGCACGCAAGUGUGAAACUCAAAGGAAUUGACGGGGGCCCGCACAAGCGGUGGAGUAUGUGGUUUAAUUCGAAGCAACGCGAAGAACCUUACCAGGCCUUGACAUCCCUUGCAGAGGUAUAGAGAUAUAUCCGAGGUUAUCAAGGAGACAGGUGGUGCAUGGUUGUCGUCAGCUCGUGUCGUGAGAUGUUGGGUUAAGUCCCGCAACGAGCGCAACCCUUGUGAUAUGUUACUAACAUUGAGUUGAGGACUCAUAUCAGACUGCCGGUGAUAAACCGGAGGAAGGUGGGGAUGACGUCAAAUCAUCAUGCCCCUUAUGGCCUGGGCUACACACGUACUACAAUGGCGUCUACAAAGAGCGGCAAGCCUGUGAAGGCAAGCGAAUCUCAUAAAGGACGUCUCAGUUCGGAUUGAAGUCUGCAACCCGACUUCAUGAAGCUGGAAUCGCUAGUAAUCGCGAAUCAGCAUGUCGCGGUGAAUACGUUCUCGGGCCUUGCACACACCGCCCGUCAA